AUUGAACGCUGGCGGCAUGCUUUACACAUGCAAGUCGAACGGCAGCACGGGGGCAACCCUGGUGGCGAGUGGCGAACGGGUGAGUAACACAUCGGAACGUGCCCAGUUGUGGGGGAUAACCUAUCGAAGGUAGGCUAAUACCGCAUGAGCUCGGCAAGAGGAAAGCGGGGGACUCAGCGAUGGGCCUCGCGCGACUGGAGCGGCCGAUGUCCGAUUAGCUAGUUGGUGGGGUAAAGGCUUACCAAGGCGACGAUCGGUAGCUGGUCUGAGAGGAUGAUCAGCCACGCUGGGACUGAGACACGGCCCAGACUCCUACGGGAGCAGCAGUGGGGAAUUUUGGACAAUGGGGGCGACCCUGAUCCAGCCAUGCCGCGUGAGUGAAGAACGGCU
This 390-nucleotide ribosomal RNA is filed under the name uncultured bacterium. RNAcentral's name for it is "bacterial SSU rRNA". It matches the Rfam family "Bacterial small subunit ribosomal RNA", at positions 29 to 417 of the family's 1533-position model. The record is from RNAcentral.